AUUGAACGCUGGCGGCAUGCCUUACACAUGCAAGUCGAACGGCAGCACGGGGGGAACCCUGGUGGCGAGUGGCGAACGGGUGAGUAAAGCAUCGGAACGUGCCCUGGAGUGGGGGAUAACGUAGCGAAAGUUACGCUAAUACCGCAUAUUCUGUGAGCAGGAAAGCAGGGGAUCGCAAGACCUUGCGCUCUGGGAGCGGCCGAUGUCGGAUUAGCUAGUUGGUGGGGUAAAGGCCUACCAAGGCGACGAUCCGUAGCGGGUCUGAGAGGAUGAUCCGCCACACUGGGACUGAGACACGGCCCAGACUCCUACGGGAGGCAGCAGUGGGGAAUUUUGGACAAUGGGCGAAAGCCUGAUCCAGCCAUGCCGCGUGAGUGAAGAAGGCCU
RNAcentral lists this ribosomal RNA (387 nucleotides) under uncultured bacterium. RNAcentral's name for it is "bacterial SSU rRNA". It matches the Rfam family "Bacterial small subunit ribosomal RNA", at positions 29 to 417 of the family's 1533-position model. The record is from RNAcentral.